CUGUUUGUAUCAUACUUAGGGCCUCCGUAUUUAGAUCUCGUAUAAAUACUCGGGGGACUCAAAUGUAAUUAUGUAAUAAAUGAAUGGGCAUAUAUGUAAUAAGUGAGGAUCCCUUAUUCUAUAAAAUGACUUCUCACUCUCCUCAUUAAGGGAGGCGGCCUGAAGCCCCCUCACCCUCAAGCUCUCAUCCUCACAUACAGAGGCUCUCACCCUUCCAUCCUCAAUCCUUUUAGAGAAAUACAAUAUCAGUGUGGACGUAGCCCGAACAUUGGGGUGAACCACGAUACAUCUUGUGUUCUUUACAUUUCUUGCAGAUUCACGGUCAGAUAUACGUUGUUCUAAGAUCUCCGGUUUUGUGCAUUAACAAUGUUAGAAGACUAAAUUUGUAGAUAAAAUUUGCAAAUUUCAAAUGAUGUGUCCCCAAUAGAAAUGAGUACGUUUAUUAACGUUUAAGUCACAUCAUCAACUUUCAUAUCAUUUAAUUUACAAAAUUAUGUCUACAAAUGACAUUAUACUUUUGCAAAUUCAGCUUAAAUCAUAUAUUUACAAGGACCACUAUUUUGUCAUGUUAAAAGAAAAUUACAAUAAGAAAUUGAAGGAAAAAAAAAGUUGUGACUUGUCUUCGUGUCAUAACAUAAUUCAAAAAGUAAAAUAAAAAGGGUCUUUUGUCACCUGACCGUCAACAAGAGAAGGCCUUUUGUUUCACGUGAGUUGCAAUA
This 719-nucleotide long non-coding RNA is filed under the name Malus domestica (apple). RNAcentral's name for it is "long non-coding RNA (MDOM_LNC009052)". The record is from RNAcentral. Lineage: Eukaryota; Viridiplantae; Streptophyta; Magnoliopsida; Rosales; Rosaceae.